Molecule: long non-coding RNA, 784 nt
Filed under: Phoenix dactylifera (date palm)
Lineage: Eukaryota; Viridiplantae; Streptophyta; Magnoliopsida; Arecales; Arecaceae
Description: long non-coding RNA (PDAC_LNC018186)
Source: RNAcentral
CAUAUAUUCCAACGCAUACCAAGUACACAUUAUCAUAUUUAUGAUUAAUAAACAAUAAUGCCAUGGAUAAAAACUCUCAAUCAAGCAUAUAGAGAAUUCAAUAAAUUAAUCAUUUUGCAACUUAUCCAAUAGUGAGUAAAGUAUACUAUAAAAUGAAGUGAUUUGAUUAUAUUUCAAAAAGUAUUUUCUAUAUCACAAAAUUGAUCACUACUAGCAGAUCAUAUCAAAUACUAAAGCACAAAUGAUGAUGAGAUGCAAGAAUUACUGAUUUCAUUAUAUUUUUUGUUAAUAACUUUUUAAGUUUCUUUAUGUUCCAUGGGUACCUUGGUACACCUAUGUGUACAUCCUCAUUUUCUCAUUUUGGGUACCCAAGCUUGCUUGAGUCCUUGAGAGAUAGGACAUAUGGUUCCUUUUGGAACCCAUAUUUGUUUAAUAGUAAUAACUUUACCAUUUGAUUUAAUUAUACUAGAACGAUAGGUAAAGUUGUUAUGCCCAUCCUUUUCAUUUUUGAAAUAAGUUAUCUUAUUUAAUGGUUUGCUUGGUAAAUUGAUAACCUUUUUCUCUAGAGAUUUAUGGCUAAGUGAAGGAGUCAAGCUAAAUUUUGAUUUAUCAAAAUCAGCAUGUUGGCUUUCAAACAUCAUUUUUAAUCUUUCUGAGCUUACGGUGAAUUUGUUAAUACAAGAUUUUAAUUGAUUAAUUUCUUCGCUUAAGUUUUGAUUUUCUUUAAUUAAGCUAUGAUUUUUCUGAAUCAAUUCUUCAGAAAAUGACCUUAAGCUUUCAUUUU